UACGGGGGGGGCAAGCGUUGUUCGGAAUUACUGGGCGUAAAGGGUUCGUAGGUGGCCAGUUAAGUCAGACGUGAAAUCCCUCAGCUCAACUGGGGAACUGCGUCUGAGACUGGAUGGCUUGAGUGCAGGAGAGGAACGCGGAAUUCCAGGUGUAGCGGUGAAAUGCGUAGAUAUCUGGAGGAAUACCGAUGGCGAAGGCAGCCCGCUGGGAUAACACUGACGCUCAUGCACGAAAGCGUGGGGAGCAAACAGG
This 253-nucleotide ribosomal RNA is filed under the name uncultured bacterium. RNAcentral describes it as "partial 16S ribosomal RNA". It matches the Rfam family "Bacterial small subunit ribosomal RNA", at positions 524 to 776 of the family's 1533-position model. The record is from RNAcentral.